RNAcentral lists this ribosomal RNA (407 nucleotides) under uncultured bacterium. Its description in RNAcentral is "partial 16S ribosomal RNA". It matches the Rfam family "Bacterial small subunit ribosomal RNA", at positions 28 to 526 of the family's 1533-position model. The record is from RNAcentral.
GACGAACGCUGGCGGCGUGCCUAAUACAUGCAAGUAGAACGCAGUUGCGAACGGGUGAGUAACGCGUAGGUAACUGCCUGGUAGCGUGGGAUAACUAUUGGAAACGCUAGCUAAUACCGCAUACUACCAGAUGGACCUGCGUUGUAUUAGCUAGUUGGUGGGGUAACGGCUCACCAAGGCAACGAUACCUAGCCGACCUGAGAGGGUGGUCGGCCAAAAUGGGACUGGGGAACUGCCCAGACUCCUACGGGGGGGAGCAGUAGGGAAUCUUGGGGAAUGGACGGAAGUCUGACCGGGCAACGCCGGGGGAGUGAAGAAGGUUUUCGGAUCGUAAAGCUCUGUUGUAAGGGAAGCGGUAUCUUACCAGAAAGGGACGGCUAACUACGUGCCAGCAGCCGCGGUAAUUC